CUUGGCUUCUGUGUUAGAAGUCCAGAUUCCACAUCCAGCUUAAAAGAGAACAGCAACGCUGCAGAGAUAUUUCAUAUAGUAAGUUAACCAGAACACGGAUUGAGCUGAAGUUCAUUUGCCUUCAUUGUAACCAGAGCAUGACUGUUUGCUGGUUUUAUUAAGGGAAAUCCAAUAUGGAUAUGGACGUGUCCACUAUUGGCGUAGUUUACAAAUAGCUGUAUCUUGGGUGGAGUGAUUAUGCUGUUGCCUUUGGCUGAUGUGUUGCUAUUUAUAUUUGCAAAACAGAAGCUUCGUGUGAUGGCAUGUGCUGCGGAUGUAUGACGUGAAAGAAUCUGUUUGAUGCAGGAAAGGAAGAUGGCGGUCACUGCUGGCUGACUUGCAUUUGCUUCGUCUGCACACUCAGAGUAGUGUGGCGUGCUGCAAAAUAAAUGAUUGCAUAAACAACAGAAAUAAUCAAGUGCUAAUAUCCAUAAUCUCAGCACACUGAUUAAUUGCUCUGCUAGGAUUCCGAACACCUGCAGAUGGGUCAGCAAUUUAGCUUUGAGAAUGGAUAUUCAUCUUCCAGCUCUCCCCAUUGUAAAUAUCAGGUUGUUUUUCUUGAGGAAGAGGGAGGAGGGAAGCUGGUGUAUAAGGUCCCUGCUUGGACCAGAACAGCAGAACGCAGCAGCUGCUGGAGGUAUGAGUGUCUUGUUGGCAGUUUAGCAGCAAAGAACCCCUACUGUGCAUCAGCUCUCAAAUCAUUAGUAUUAUCAAGCAGCAUUGAAGUCAGAAUUAAAAUAGGCCUCAUGGAUAAUUUAACCCUGAAACAAUGAGGAUGGCAUACAGUUUCACAUUAGAAGUGCUGGCAGCUGAGCUAUGUUCUAAUGCCCUGCCAUAUUGCUAUUCCGCUGAUGCCUCUUAAGAGGCAAUACUCAGUGACAUACAUAAUUGUGGGGUGGAGGAUUUAAACAUUUCUAUAAGGAAAGGGUGGGGAAUUUGGCCCUUUGUGGCGAUCACACAGGGUCCCCGGACGGUUUUGACGGUCUAUUGGUCCCUGUGAUUGCCUCUUCGCUGCCACCAACCCAUUUCCCUCGGGUACACACGGAGUCCAGACAGUUGUUAACAUUAACAAAUAAUCAAGUUUAUUUUUAAAAGCAUAAACAAGUUUAAGGUUUCAGUUAAUUUUUCUUGUCAGUUUCUUAAUCUUAGUUCCUUUACUGUCUUAUAUGUUCCUAACAACUUCAAUCUGAUUAUCCCAACUAUCAAUGGAUCCAAACUACAAGAAAGAAGAUUCCACCUAAACAUUAGGAAGAACUUCCUGACAGUAAGAGCUGUUCGACAGUGGAAUUUGCUGCCAAGGAGUGUGGUGGAGUCUCCUUCUUUGGAGGUCUUCAAGCAGAGGCUUGACAACCAUAUGUCAGGAGUGCUCUGAUGGUGUUUCCUGCUUGGCAGGGGGUUGGACUCGAUGGCCCUUGUGGUCUCUUCCAACUCUAUGAUUCUAUGAUUCUAUGAUUCUAUGAUCUAUCUGACUCCACCUAACAAUUCCUCUCACUCCCUCACAACACAACUCGACCAACCCACAGACUUAUCCUCUCUCUUCCUUCUCCAACUCUCAACUCUAAACUGACUUAGGGUGUGAUUGUUUGCUUGUGAUUGGCUGUGGUGAUCUUUGUUUUCGUGUGUGAGUGAGGUGGGUGGGUGUUUUGGAUCAGGUUAGCCAUAUUGAUUUGUAUGCUGUUGGUGGAUUAUUGUCAUUGUCCUGUUGGGCUGUGUAUGUGAUAAAGGGGAGCCAUACCGGGGUGAAGGCGUCUUCUUCUGUUUGUCCCCGUGUCAGUUUCAGUUUAUUAGUUAAUUUUUCUAGUAGGGCUGUUUCCCAUACUAUUUGGUACCAUUGGUCCAUGCUUACUCCUGACAGGUCUCUCCAGUGUCUGGUUAUGGUGUUUCUGGCUGCUGAGAGCAGGUGGGUUAUGAGUUCUUUGUGGUGUAAAUGGGCAUUGUUGUCUUGGAAGAUGUUUAGUAGGGCCAAUUCUGGGGUGAUGCCUAUUACUUGCUUAGUUAUUUUACUUAUUUCUUGUAUGGCUGUUGUCCAGAAUAGUUGGAUUUUGGGCCUAGGCCAACCCCAACCUCUCUCACCACCAAAGGAACACAAGUGAACAACACAAGCAACGCUGACACCAAACUCUACAUACAUUAAACAUAAUAGAAACACCGCCACCCGACCCCACCCCUAUCCAUCUUCCCUCUCUCCUCCCCCCCUUUCUUUUUUCUUUCUUUUUUCUUCUCCCCCUAAUGCCUCAACAAAUGAAACGGAUUUGUAAAAAUGUUACAUGAAGAAGAAAAAAUAUGAGGCACUACACUUCUGUAAAACAAGAAAAUCCUUAAUAAAAUAUUUUUUUAAAAAAACUCUAAACUGACUUCCACACAGCUCCGACUCUAACUCUCCUAUCAGUUUCUCUCUGGCCAAUCACAUCACACUCAUUUAACCCUUUCCUUAUGACCCACCUAGGAGGCAAACGCCACAAUGCCCUUCCAGAUAUUGUCAGACUCCCACCCCCAUCAGCUCUCACUAGCUUGGCCAAUGGUUAGGAAUGAUGGGAGAUGAAGUCCAACAAUGUCUAGGGUGCCCACCCCUGCUUUUUAAAUACCCCUAAAAUUAUUAGUACCUAUGAAGUAUUCCAUGCUCCACAAAUAAGUGAUGAUGUAACCAUCACAGGGCUUCAAAAGGCAGGCAAAAAGUAAAUACAGUGGUACCUCGGGUUACAUACGCUUCAGGUUACAUACGCUUCAGGUUACAGACUCCGCUAACCCAGAAAUAGUGCUUCAGGUUAAGAACUUUGCUUCAGGAUGAGAACAGAAAUCGUGCUCUGGCGGCGUGGCGGCAGCGGGAGGCCCCAUGAGCUAAAGUGGUGCUUCAGGUUAAGAACAGUUUCAGGUUAAGUACGGACCUCCGGAACAAACUAAGUACUUAACCUGAGGUACCACUGUACAAAUUUGUAUUGCAGUUUUGGAAGUUGCAAUAUGGAAACCAGUCAUCUGAAUAUACACGUUCUCUUGACUUGCUUAUGUCAAAUUUCCUCUGUUACUUACUGUGUUGAUUUGUUCAUACAACAAUUAUUUAUCCUCCUUUCUGAUUUCUACUUUAGAACAGGAAUAGGGAAUGUGUGGCUUCUAGAUGUUGUUGGACUUCAGCAUGGUCAGUGGUCGGGGAUGAUGGGAGUUGUAGUCUACCAACAUCUGGAAGGGCACAGAUUCCCCAGUGUUUAAAUAAGGGAACGAGAAUAUCUGCCCUUAUGGUGAAAUUCUAAUAUGCAGCAGAUAAAAAUAAGGAGACGAUAUUGGGACGCCAUUCUUGUAAAGAAUAACUUGCAUGUAUACGUGUGCUCAUGCAAACAGCAAACAGGCUCCCUACACACACAAACAUAUCCAGAGAGAGAAAGAGAGAAUUAAACAAUGAUCUUCAAUUUCCUGCAUUUACGCACAGGCAGCACCAGAGCAUAGCUGUCAAUGUUUUCCUUUUUUAAAGGGAAAUUCCCUUAUUCCCAAUAGGGUUCCUCGCAAGAAAAGGGAAAAGUUGACAGCUAUGCACCAGAGAGGAACUAGGAGAGACAAGUGUCUCAAGAACAGUAACCACCCCACAAACACACAUACACACACACACACCAAAAAACAAGAACCUCCCACCAGAUGUCAAAGAGAAAAAUAACUACCAAACUUUUAGAAGACAUCUGAAGGCAGCCCUGUUUAGGGAAGCUUUUAAUGUUUAAUAGGUUAUUGCAUUUUAGUGUUUUUGUUGGAAGCCGCCCAGAGUGGCUGGGGAAACCCAGCCAGGUGGGCGGGGUAUAAUUAUUUAUUUAUUAUUAUUAUUAUUAUUAGAACAGCACUGCUGGAUCCCUAUAGUUACUUGAAGGAAAGACAAUUCUCAGGAUGCUUAGAAGUUUACUACACCUAAAGCCAUAUUACUAACUUCAGAGGAAACAUAGUACUUACUUCAAAGAGUUUGGGGUCAGUUUGGAUGAUACUCUGGGUUCCUUCCAAACUUGCCACCCUGUAUCUGUGGGGGAAGAACAUAUAAGAGGAAGCUUGCCAAAUCAUUCCCUUUGUCAGAGAGAAACCUAGAGCUAGAGGGGCACUUACAUUUCAACCCCCCCCCCAAAAAAACCUAGGAAAUUCAUUACCAAAGUGGAGAGGGGGGCCCUAUGAAGCGGCCGGGGCCCCAUAAAUUUCGGGGUAGAAUAAAAAAAAUGCCUAAUGGUUUAUUGAAUAUUUACAGAUAAAUUGAAAACAGAUAAAAACAUUGGCAGGAUUAUUGUAAUAACUUGCAGUUUUAUAAGAGUAUAUAUUUAAAGGAGAAAAAUAAAUUAGCAAAUUAAAUGAAUUUGGAUAUGCAGAAGAUAUUAAAAAAAUAAAUUUAAGGAACCGCAGAAAGAGGGGGAAGGAAGUCAAGUUUUGAAAUGUUAAAGGGAUUGUAAAAAUGAAUGAAAUGUAUAAAAGUGAAAAGUAUAAAUAAAAUUCAGAAAAAUGGGGGGGGUUGCCUCUUUUUUGGGAUCAAUGAUUUUCGGCGGUUUACUUAAAGAAAGCUCCGCAAUGUUGGGGUCUUCCUAAAAAAAAAUAAUCUCCACAACUUUCGGGGUACCCUGGUUCUUACUCUUUGAAAAUGUUGCUGCUUAGUCGUUUAGUCUUGUCCGACUCUUUGUGAUCCCAUGGACCAGAGCACGCCAGGCACUCCUGUCUUCCACUGCCUCCCGCAGUUUGGUCAAACUCAUGUUGGUAGCUUCAAGAACAUUGUCCAACCAUCUCGUCCUCUGUCGUCCCUUUCUCCUUGUGCCCUCAAUCUUUCCCAACAUCAGGGUCUUUUCCAGGGAGUCUUCUCUUCUCAUGAGGUGGCCAGAGUAUUGGAGCCUCAGCUUCAGGAUCUGUCCUUCCAGUGAGCACUCAGGGCUGAUUUCCUUCAGAAUGGAGAGGUUUGAAGAGUCUCCUCCAGCACCAUAAUUCAAAAGCAUCAAUUCUUCAGCGAUCAGCCUUCUUUAUGGUCCAGCUCUCACUUCCAUACUCCACUACUGGGAAAACCAUAGCUUUAACUAUAGGGACCUUUGUCGGCAAGGUGAUCUCUGCCUUUUAAGAUGCUGUCUAGGUUUGUCAUUGCUUUUCUCCCAAGAAGCAGGCAUCUUUUAAUUUCGUGGCUGCUGUCACCAUCUGCAGUGAUCAUGGAGCCCAAGAAAGUAAAAUCUCUCACUGCCUCCAUUUCUUCCCCUUCUAUUUGCCAGGAGGUGAUGGGCCCAGUGGCCAUCAUCUUCGUUUUUUUGUUGAGCUUCAGACCAUAUUUUGCGCUCUCCUCUUUCACCCUCAUUAAAAGGUUCUUUAAUUCCUCCUCACUUUCUGCCAUCUAGGUUGUGUCAUCUGCAUAUCUGAGGUUGUUGAUAUUUCUUCUGGCAAUCUUAAUUCUGGUUUGAAAUAUGUCAGCCCUAACUUUGAGGCCCUUCCUGCUCUCCCUAUUUUUACACUGGACUUAUACUGCAUGGCCUUUCAGGCAAUCUGGCCGUCCCAGCUAGAAUCUCCGACCACCAGACAUCGAGUUUUUGUGUGUGGAGAGUUUUGUUUUGUGGGAUGGAGGCUGCUGAGUCACAUGAUAUUCAAGCUACAGUCUGCAGUCAUUUAACUAACUCACUGACAAACUAGGCCCCGUCUCUGUGCGUUAAUGGCCCUUUUGGAAACAGUUUCUUGAAACUCUUUAUACUUCUCUAUUCCAUCUUUUCAUAAAGAAUUAAUAGGCUUUGGGGUGUUUCUAAACAAGCUGAAGACUGUUUUACAACAAAGUACUAUCUGCCCACACCCACCCACAGCAUUUAUUUUUAGAGCCACUUUCAAGCAUUGCAACAUAUGUCUCCAACAUACAGUAAUUUUAUACUGGUUUCCCCAACGCUACAGAGUGUAGCUUCUUGAUAUAUUUCAGUAGUUAACAGUAUAAUUGGCCUUUCUGUAGGUAGAAGACAGCCUGCAGACUCCUCAUUGAUUUUUCCUUGCAAAAUUAUAUCAUUUCCCCGAGACCAUUAUGUGCAGUAUUAAAAGAAAAGAAAAGAAAGCCAAAAGAAUAUUUUAACUUUCAAAUGAAAAACAAUAGAUACCUUCCAGCUUGGUGCAUAAGCUACACGCUGAAACUGAAGGGAGGAAGAAAAAAAAAGUUUUCAGAGUAAAUUCCAAGGCUAUAUUGAUAUUGAGUUACUUGGUAACGGUAAUGUUUCCUUUUUCUUUACAUCCAUGUCUCUGUAUUAUUGCAAUGCCCUCUCAAUACAUGUAGAGGGGGAAAAGGUCCAGACCCAAUUCUUCAAAGGGAGGUCUGCAAUAAGGCCGGCCCUGUCAAUAGGCAAUAAGGCAGCCGCUUCAGACACCUGGUUUUGGGUGUCAUGAAAGGGCAGUGAAUUGUUACACUAUUUAUUUUAUGUUAUUUUAUUAUUUUUGCUGUUGCUCCUUUCAGUGCAAGGCACUCGUGAGACUUUCUGCCUCAUGGCUGCAAUGGCUGCCAAUUAGUUUCCGGGUCCAAUUCAAAGUGCUGGUUUUGACCUAUAAAGAAUGGUUACCAGACGUCCCCGUUUCCCAGGGACAGUCCCUGGAUUUACAAAUCUGUCCCCACACAAAAUCUGUCCCAAGAUUUCAUUUAAUGUCAUUUAAUGUCCCCGGCUUCAUAUUUUAAGUGUUGUAGAUUUAUUAGUAGGGAAUGAAUGUUGUGUGAUUGGUUCAAUGGCACAAGAAACAUCAUAUGGGGACUUCCGGUGAGGCAAAAUGGCGGGCGCCACGGCAGCGAGCAGCUCCUGAAGCCAGCCAGAGCCAACUGCGCUACCAGGCUGGCUCCGGGCUGCUGAGGCUGCCACUGCCACUGCCAAGGGGGAACCAGGGGGCCCGGUGCGUCAACUGGGGGAACCGCUGACCCCCUUCCAUGACCCAAAUCGAGCUGGAAGCGAGAGCGCCAGGCCACCCAGCCGACUGCCCAGUGGCACUCCGGGGCCAGUAAAAACCCCGGAGCCAAUACAGGGAGAAGGAGCAGAGGAGAAGGAGAAGGAAGAGAGAGGAGAAAAAUAGAGAAGCCCCGACCUUGCCGCGUCACUGUUGCCGCCAGUGAGGAGGACAGAUAGGAGAACACCGGGAGGACAAUAAUAAUAAUAAUAAUUUAUUAUUUAUACCCCGCCCAUCUGGCUGAGUUUCCCCAGCCACUCUGGGCGGCUCCCAAUCAAAUGUUAAAAACAGUACAGCAUUAAAUAUUUAAAAAUUCCCUAAACAGGGCUGCCUUCAGAUGUCUUUUAAAGAGAUGAUAGCUGCUUAUUUUCUUCACAUCUGAAGGGAGGGUGUUCCACAGGGCAGGUGCUACUACCGAGAAGGCCCUCUGUCUGGUUCCCUGUAACCUCACUUCUCACAAUGAGGGAACCGCCAGAAGGCCCUCAAAGCUGGACCUCAGUGUCUGGUCUGAAUGAUGGGCGUGGAGACGCUCCUUCAGGUAUACUGGACCGAGGCCGUUUAGGGCUUUAAAGGUCAGCACCAACACUUUGAAUUCUGCUCGGAAACGUACUGGGAGCCAAGGACAAGUGGCCGAGCGAGGCCCGACCCGAGCCUACUCCACGGCAGCUAGCGCUCCAAGAGAGCAGGCCGGGGCCCAGAGGAAGGCCAUGCAAUAUGAUCAUCAUCAUUUUUAAUUUGUAUACCGCCUUUCUAUCUUACAAUACUCAAGGCGGUUUACAAGCUGAAGAAACAAAAAAUGUACAUCUUAUAACAAUCUAACGCAAUACAAAAAUGUAAUAAUAAAACAUAACUUUAAAAUAGGCAACCUCCAUCAAAAAAGUAACGUUCAGCAAUCAUUAGAAUAGUAUAAAAUAAUAAUAUCAACAUAUAAAAGUUAAACAGAAAUCUACUCAACAGUUACAAUAAUAUCUAAACUGUAAUCAAUAAAACAACAGCAAGCCACAGUACAUAAAACAAUACAAUAUACAUUGAGAAGCAGAGGGAAGGCAGGUGGAAGGAGUCUCUCCCCUCACCAGAGGAGACCACAGAAGAUAUUAAAACAUAUUUUUUAAAAAGUAAGAAGUAAUAACAUUUUUUUUCUUUAUUUAAAAAAAGUGUCCUCGGAUUCUUUGAAAAAAAUCUGGUAACCUUACUAUAAAGCCUUAAAUGGCUCAGGACCUCAAUACCUCAAGGGCUGCCCCUCCCCAGAUGUACUGAUCUGGACCCUGCAACCAUCAUCUGAAGACUUUCAUCGUGUGCCACUUCCAUGAGAGGUCCAGAGGGUGGCAACACAAGAACGGGCCUUUUCUGUGGUGGCUCCCCACCUAUGAAAUGCUCUUCCCAGAGAGGCCCACCUGGCGCCUUCAUUAUAUAUAGUCAGCUGCCAAGCAAAAAUGUUUUACUAUAGCCCAGUUCCCGAUUGAUUAAACAAUCUAUGUUUUAUUAUGUAUUUUUAGUAAUCAUUUUGCAGUGUUAUGUUGUGAGCCCCCCAUGAUCUUCAGACGAAGGGCAGUAUGCAAAUUUAAUUAAAUAACAACAAUAAUAACCAAACUGAGGGACUAUAUGCAUUAUGACUGAAUGUGUGCCGUUUGCAGUUUUGUCUCCUGCGACAAAAUGUAUCAGGCUCACUCUGGGACAGAAGCUUUCCAUGCUGUUAAUUUUUUAGGUAGCAAAAUAGCUCGGACCCAAGAUGCUUUGUUGCCUGAGGCAAUAUCAAGAUUACUCCCCAUUUUAAAAAUCCACGCGUAGAAGCUGACCAAACUGGUUCUUGAACAUAAGUCCCCAUCCGCACUACACAUUUAAAACAGUAUUAUUCCACUUCAAAACAGCCAUGGCUUCCCCCAAAGACUCCUGGGAAAUGUAGUUUGUUAAGGGUAAAGGUAAAGGUCCAGUCGUGACCAGCUCUGGGGUUGCGGCGCUCAUCUCGCUUUAUUGGCCGAGGGCGCCAGCGUACAGCUUCCGGGUCAUGGGGCCAGCACGACUAAGCCACUUCUGGCGAACCAGAGCAGCGCACGGAAACGCCCUUUACCUUCCCGCCAGAGCGGUACCUAUUUAUCUACUUGCACUUUGACGUGCUUUUGAACUGCUAGGUUGGCAGGAGCAGGGACUGAACAAUGGGAGCUCACCCCGUCACGGGGGUUCGAACCGCCGACCUUCUGAUCGGCAAGUCCUAGGCUCUGUGGUUUAACCCACAGCGCCACCCGCGUCCCAUUUGUUAAGGGUACUGAGAGUCAUUAGGAGACCCCAAUUCCCCACACAGAGCUACAAUUACCAGUGUGCCUGAAUGUUGAAUGCUUCUUCCCAGGGAACUUAGGGACUGUAGCACUGUAAGGGGAAUAUGGCGUCUUCUAAGAAAUCUCAGCGCCCUUAGCAAACUCUCAGGACCCUCAUAGCUGCACUACACCUGCUUCCAUAUGAAUUUCACCACUGGCCACUCCAACAGCUAGCACCCACUUGAGGGGGGGGGGGAAGCAGGCCAGAUACUGAGCAAUAAUUGCUCAGAUCAGAUGAACCAAAUCAACAUCUCUUCAGAAGAGGCCAUACCACACUCUCUCUCUUUUUUUUACAAUGUCUUUAAUGGAAAUGUUUAAAUUUAAGAGGGUACGGGAAGACUUGCAAAUUUGUGUUUCAGGAGAUGGGUGGAAUUGUAUUUGUAGAACACGGCCUACCUGUUCAUCUAAACAAAAGUAUCGAGACUUUUUAUAAGAUUUUUUUUUUCUUGCUCCAUAGUACUUCACUCCAACAAGGUUAAUGAAAUAUUUGCCCAUGUAACACACUGAAUGCAAAUUUUAUGCAUAUAUUGUGGAGGUGAAACGUACUCAGGCAGAUUUUGGGAAGCGAUUUUCCUCGUCAUCAAAAAGAUAAUGAGAACAGCAUUCUCAUUAAAUCCAGAAGUUUGUUUGCUGAAUAAUUUAGGCUCCAAUUUUAAAACACAUAUACUGGGGUGUAAGUCCCAUCGAAUACACAGUGGGACGUAUUUCCAAAUAAACAUGCAUAACGUGGUGCUUUUAAAGGAAAUAAACACAGACAUUUAGUGGGCAGGUUGUUGACAGUUCCUAGAAUUAUUGCUGCAGAAACCUAGAAAAAUAAAGAGAAACUUUCAAAGGAAAAGUGGGUCAAGGUUUGGCAUGAAAUGUUGGUGAAUAAAAUAACACCAUCUGAAUAAAUGUGAAGAAACAAUAUAAUCUCCCAAGUACUAGAACAUUAGCAAUCAUUUCUUCUGUAUUAGAAUUAUGUCAAGUAUUAUUGAUUUCAAGUUUGUACAUAGCAUUUUGUUAGGGUCCUUUUAUGCAUGUUUCCUCCAAAUGUAUUAUGUCCUUCUAUUAUUUGUACUUAAAAAUAAAAAAUCCCAGCUAUUGAUUUCUGAUUAAACCACCUUGGAAGCUUUUAUGGCAAAUGGUGAAAUGUAAAAACUUUAAUAAUUCUGUUAUAUGUGAAGCUGCAAACAAUAGCAUUUUUCCUUGGAAGAAAGUUCCACCAAACAUAGGGACAAAUGUAUAGGGAUGAGCAGAGAAAACGGCCUUGAAUGCCAGUGUAAUAUAUAUACAGUGGUACCUCAAAUUACAUAUCCUCUGCAUACGUAAUCUUUGGGUUGCAAACGCAGCCUCGUGCGCGCAUGCGCAGAAGUGAUUAGGUUGGUCUCAACUAGGGCCAGGGCCUUUUCAGUACUGGCCCCAACUUGGUGGAACGCUCUGUCAUAAGAGACUAGGGCCCUGCAGGAUUUGACAUCUUUCCGCAGGGCGUGCAAGACAGAGCUGUUCUGCCUGGCCUUUGGUUUGGACUCAGUUUGACCUUUAUGUUUCCCUCCCCUUAUGGUUUUGACUUUUAAAAUGAGGCUGCAUUUUAAAUUGCAUUUUAACCUGUAUUUUAAAUUGUUUUUUCCCCUUCUUAUGUUUUUACUGAAAUUUUAUUGGUGUUAGCCGCCCGGAGCCCGGCUCUGGCCAGGUAUAAAUAAAAUUUAUUAUUAUUAUUGCUGUUAUUAUUAUGUGCCCCACUCAUGUGCAGAAGUGCUCAAUUGCGCUGCGCACGUGUGCAGGAAGGCGCCUCCAAUUACGGACUUUUCGGGAUAUGGCUGGGCCUCCAGAACGGAUCCCAUCCGUAACCGGAGGUACCACUGUAUAUUUUUAAGGGAACAGAUGUGAGUCACACUUCCAUUAUUUUUGCAUAUCAACAGCUUCCAAGAAGGAAAUACUGGGAGCACUUUUUUUUCUGGGGCAGGGGAGACUUUAUGCAUAUGGUAGAAUUCAAGUGAUGCCAGCAGAGGGGUGGAAUGAUCUUUCAGUUUUGGUUUCUCCAUUUCUCAUUUUCCCAUUCUUCACUUUAGCUCUCCACAUUUCUGCAGCUUUUUAUAGUUUUUAAUCCCCAUGAAAAAUCUGUCAGCAUUUUACUGCAAAUUUAUCCUAACAAACCCAUUUUUGUAUGCAUUUUGUGUGAUGAUGCACAUAUUGUCGGAACACACCUGGGGGCACAUGCAGCCCCCGGAAUGAGACAGACCUCUCCAGGUGUCUUCCUGAUGAAGCGCAACCCGGGACAUUCACAAAUCUUCAGUCCCAGUGUGCACCAGCGACACAUAUCAAAAGACAUGUGCACGCUCUAUCAGCAGAGUAUAGCACAAACGACUGUGGAGCAUAGGUGUAUGCAUUCUAAGUAUUUAUAAAGUAAUAUAUACAGGACAAAUCAAUCAUGGCAUCCUCUUACUUCUCCGAGAGAGAGAGAGAGAGAGAAAGAAAAGUACAAAAGAGAUCAGACUGACUUCCAGUCUCACACUUUCCAAACCUAGAAAGUAAACACUGACAUGUGAUGUAACAAUCACACAUCCAGCAACGGAGGAGUGAAACGCUAACACGUAUAUUGGUUUAAAGACUGUCUCAAGGCAAAUUUUUUAAAAUGUAAUAUAAACACCAACAACUGGGAAACACUGGCCUGCAAGCGCUCCAAUUGGAGAACAGCCUUUACCAAAGGUGUCGUGGGCUUUGAAGACACUCAAACGCAGGACGCAAGGGAGAAAUGUGCUAAGAGGAAGGCACGCUUGGCAAAUCCACACUGUGAUCAACUCCCACCCAGAAACCAAUGUCCCCACUGUGGAAGGACGUGUGGAUCCAGAAUUGGCCUCCACAGUCACUUACGGACUCAUUGUUAAAACCGUGUUUAUGGAAGACAAUCUUACUCAGCUAUGAGUGAUCGCCAAAGAAGAAGAAGAAUUUGCAAGCAAUCCAGCCCCCCAAAAGAUAAUGCAUUUCUGUAUGUUAUUUCCACAGAGUUAUUUUUAUACACAACAAUUUCUCCAAUAUAUGCAUUUUUUGUAAAUACUGCUUGGUUGGAGAACUUCAUCACAAAAUUCAGAUAAGGGCAAAUUCUGAAGAAUAGAUUGUUGUUGUUCUCACUGUUUUAGAAAGGAUGAAUUUGAUAUAUUCUGCUUUAGCUGUGAACCAAAUCAAAUCUGCCCCCCCCCCCAUUAUUAUCCCAGUGCACACCAUUAAUGUUCACAUCUUCUCACAGUGGCCUGUGAAUAUCCCAGGCUGUGGAUGAAACACCCUCACAAUCCUUGUGUAGUUAACUUUCGUUUCAGGGUAAAAGCUCUAUAAUAUGACAGCCUCUGACUCCUCACGACUGAUCGGUAAACAAGCCCUUCAGAUUCAUCUCACAUGUGAGCAAGGGGGAGUUUUAAUUCAGUUUUGCAUGCUCAUUUAAUCUUAAAUUGUGUGACAAUUUGGUUUGUGGGUUUUAUAUUUAGAAGCACUGAGAGAAAGGAACAAGCUAAGAGACCGGGGCUAUUUACAAAAGGAAAUGUGCCCAGGGACCCAUUUUAACAGCGGUGCUGAUUAUUAAUGUCCAUGGUAUUGAAGGAGCAAGUGAGCAUUGCAAGAGGCCUCAAAGUAUUAUGGUUUGGUGGCAUUAGCUUAAUUUAGUCGGUGAUUUAAAUGAUUUUGCUGGUGGCUGCCUCUGUUAUAAGUUAUAAAAAGGAAACAGAAUGAAAACUUAAAAAUAUGUAACAUAUUUACCCUUCAACAGAGAAGUCUGGAGCUGCUUGCUAGUAAUAUUAAAAUUUAAUAUUACGUAUCCUUCUAAGGCAAAAGGAAGGUCAUUCAAAAUUGCACUUUUGUUAAAGAAAGAUGCUGGCAGCUGUUUUUUUUUAAUAAAUAUUUGAACGCCAUUUGUGUAACUGAAAACCAAUAUCUAAUAAUCACAAUUUAGUCUAGUGCUGGGCAACUCCAUGAAAAUGUCAAGCUGCUAGCCCAUUUUUCAUUUUCAUAUAUAAUUAACAUGUUCCACAUCAUUUUAAAGAUAAUUCCUGAAAGUUUCAUUAUCUGGCAAGAGUUUUUCAAAAUGGUAUUUUACGCAGAAGUGUGACAUGCAAGAUGACUCCAAAUUUCUCUAAUUUUCCUAAUCUUCAGUUAAAUCUCUCUCCAAGAUAAUACACAAUAGGUUAAUGGCACUUUAUCAUAUUGAUAGCUUUGCUUUCUCGUCUGAUAAACUGAGAAGACAUUUUGUGUUAGGAAUAAAAUCAAAUGAGCCUAGAACAAUAAGACUUAAUGUUGGCUAAGUGUGUUAUAUUGGUCACAAAAACACAUACAUUCUUUCACCUUAACAAAUGAAAAUCUGCAUUUUUAAGCUGUCUCCUCUUAUUUAAAUAUGUUAACUUUAAGAAAAUGUGAUGAGAUGUUACCUGAAAAGUUUUUCACAUACAACAAUUGUUGGUCACAUUUAAAACAGAACAAAAGGAAAGCAUUCAAACUUUCUGUGGCGUAUGUCUUGCUUAUUUUUGUGGGGAAGAUCAACCCAGCUAACAUAUAGUUUAAUCUUAACUGGAGUUCAAAUAAUAUUAGCCAACGCACAAAAUAUGAUAUGAAGAAGCUUAUGAAUGUUAUGUUGGUCACUGCAGAAAUAUGCUGCUAGCAGACAAAGUUCAGUUAACUUUUUCUCACCGUGUUUUACACUCCCCUGUUUUGCAAUUCCUCACAUCUAUCUGGCCCCUUGCUAAAUUUUCAUAAAGAAUAGGAGGAACGUGAGGUACACAUUUGUUAUGAUAGGCAGCAUGGCAUGUGCCCCAACAUGCAGAUAAGUGUUUAGUAACUGCAAGUCAAAUGCCUAUGUACUGUAAAUGAGGUACACUGCACAAUAACCCGUGAACUAGGGGUGGGAACAGUUGGCCUUUCAAACGUUGCUGCACCACAACUCCUAUCAGCCCCAACCAGCAUGGCCAAUGGUCAAGGAUGAUGGGGGAUGUAGUCCAACAUCUUGAGAGCCACCCCUGUCAUCCUGAAAAACAAUGCCAGAAGAACAUGUUACCGUAUUUUUCGCUCCAUAAGACGCACUUUUCCCCUCCUAGAAAGUAAGAGGAAAUGUGUGUGCGUCUUAUGGAGCGAAUGCAGGGGGGAGACAGGCAGGAAAAUCCCCCAAGACCCACACAAGAGCUCCGCGCGGCUCUUGCGGGCUUUUCCCCAGGAGGGAGAAGGGCUUCUUUAGCCACUGCGCAGCCCCUCUGGCAGGGAGAGGCUGCACACGGCUAUGGCUCCUUUAGCCCCACGCAGCCUCUCCCGGCCCGAGAGGUUGUGCGCAGCUAAAGAGGAAGCCAAGACAGCAAGUGGGAUCCAUCCCGCUCUCUGUCUUGGCUUGUUUGCUCUUUGGGGCUGGGGGGGGGGGACCCGGGCUUCCCCCAGCAGCACCAAGAAGCUCUGGGAGAAGCGGACAGCAGGAUUUUUUUUCUUGAUUUCCCCCUCUAAAAACUUGGUGUGCCUUAUGGUCCGGUGUGCCUUAUGGAGCGAAAAAUACGGUAAGCUUUGCUAGAGAGAUGUAUUCUGAAGCAGACACAGCCAAGUCCAAUUGUUGCUCAUCCGGUUCUUGGGAAACCAACUGAUUGCCAAAUAUUGGAAGGAGCUUUGUGUCUCAGGCCUCACGUUUAUCCCAGUCAAGUUUUCAUUCCAUAUGCCUUCCAAGUCAACCUGUUGAACACCUUCCUGCGUUUGCCAAUUUGGCACCAGAGAGCAUGUGAACAGAGUUUCAUGGGAACAGCCACUUUGUCAGCGAGAUUGUGAAGAGAAGCGAACGGAUUCUGCCAGGUGCCUCCAGGUAAAAUUCACUUGCAGUGGCUGUUCCUGAGUGCGCUGAACAAAAUGCCACAUGAAAUGAGUUGUUUGGGUUCCAGAACUUCCCGUUCCUUUCUGUCCAACUUGCUGUGCUACAGAUAUCAGAAACCAGGUGCACAUUUUAUAUCAGGCUUCCUCAACCUCAGCCCUCCAGAUGUUUUGAGACUACAAUUGCCAUCAUCCCUGACCGCUGGGUCCUGCUAGCUAAGGAUCAUGGGAGUUGUAGGCCAAAAACAUCUGAAGGACUGAGGUGGAGGAAGCCUGCUUUAUAUGUUCCUUCAACACAUCAAAUUUCAACACAUCUAAAACACAUGUGAAUGUUUUCAGAUUGCUUUAACUGCUUUAGAAUACUUUUUUUUUUUAAAGAACCGGGAGGUAUUUUAUGAAAAUUCAGCUAAAAUUAGAACAAAAAGAAAUCUGUACAAUGCAAGGAAAAACAAAACAAAUUAAAUUGAUUGACAACAACAUUACAAAGGCAACUUUUUAUGGGGGGGGAGUUGUGGAUGUGUUUGGCACCUUGCAUUACUUUGAGAGGAAAGGCAAGAUAUAAAUUCAAUAAACAAACAUCUGUAGCCACUGUGUGCUCAAGAGAUCCUCACCCAUUGGCUCCCAGACCAUUCAUGCCAAAGUUAGCUAAAACUAAGUCGAUUAAAAAAAAAAAAGAAUAGAUAGUUCAUCCAUAUCAUGGAUUGGGGUGCGGGGAGAAAGUUGGAGCUAUAUGUUUAAUCAGCUAGUUUAUCUGCAUUAGAUCAGGAGAGGUCAAAUCCCUUCACUUCCUAUGCUUUUAUUAGGAGAACCAGCAAGGGGGUCAGUAGGUGGCAUGACAUUGACAUGGACUUGAUUUAGUCCCAUGUCUUGGUACAUACAGCACCACGAUGCCCGCCACCCAAAGCAAUUACAAUUAUUGCCAUUUCUGCCACUGACUCUCCUCCAAACUCAUUCAUAACGGAGCCUGGACUCUUGCCAGGAAGCCACACGAAUAGUUUAUGACAGGGAUUUAUAUCAAUAUAAAACUCGGGUGUUGAAUUAAAAGGAGCAAGCUAUACAGAAGAGCAAGUUAAACAUUUUAUCAGAUAUGUAGAGAGAAGGAGGCCAGAGUUCCUAGGGAGAGUCGGCUUUAAGGGGGAUCUUUUUAGGGGAGGAAGGAGAAAGUAAUUUAAAGAAGCUUCGUUCUCUUACAAAAGCAGUUAUCGCAUCGGCCUCAAAGAAGGUGUCGGGCUUUCUUUCCACAGUAAUCCUAAACCAGAGCCAGGCUGUUGCUUUAUUUAGGGUGCCAUAGAAUUAUAGAAUUGUAGAGUUGGAAGGGAAUAUGAGGAUCACAUUAUGCAGCUUCCUGCAAUGCAGGAAUAAGCAGCAAUCCCAUAUGGACAUUAAACCUGCAACCUUGGCAUUACAGUGGUACCUCGGGUUACAGACACUUCAGGUUACAGACUCCGCUAACCCAGAAAUAUUACCUCGGGUUAAGAACUUUACCUCAGGAUGAGAACAGAAAUCGCGCGGCGGCAGCGGGAGGCCCCAUUAGCUAAAGUGGUACCUCGGGUUAAGAACAGUUUCAGGUUAAGAACAGACCUCCAGAACAAAUUAAGUUCUUAACCCGAGGUACCACUGUAUCAGCAUCAUGUUCUAACUAACCGAGUUAUCCAUGCUAUGUUUCUCUGGCAACAUGUUCUUGACAUGGCACUGGCAUGUUACUGCUGGGUUGUUUUCUGGUUUAGUUUGUUCUGCAACGCUUCCCCCCAGUGCUACCACAUGAUUGCUGUCAUAGAAUCAUAAAGUUGGAAGAGACCACAAGGGCCAUCGAGUCCAACCCCCUGCCAAGCAGGAAACACCAUCAGAGCACUCCUGACAUAUGGUUGUCAAGCCUCUGCUUAAAGACCUCCAAAGAAGGAGACUCCACCACACUCCUUGGCAGCAAAUUCCACUGUCGAACAGCUCUUACUGUCAGGAAGUUCUUCCUAAUGUUUAGGUGGAAUCUUCUUUCUUGUAGUUUGGAUCCAUUGCUCCGUGUCCGCUUCUCUGGAGCAGCAGAAAACAACCUUUCUCCCUCCUCUAUGUGACAUCCUUUUAUAUAUUUGAACAUGGCUAUCAUAUCACCCCUUAACCUCCUCUUCUCCAGGCUAAACAUGCCCAGCUCCCUUAGCCGUUCCUCAUAAGGCAUCGUUUCCAGGCCUUUGUCUGGAGGGUCUAUAGUGCAGCAGAAGUGGGACAAAAAUAAACCGGAAGGUUUGUGAUAUAAUAAUAAAUAAUAUUUUUUUAUUUCUACCCCGCCAUUCCCGGUUCACAAAACCGGGCUCAGGGCAGCUAACAACAAAUUUAAAACACUUAAUUGUAGAAGCAGCAUAAAAUACAGUAUAAAAACGUGAACAACAAUAAAAUUCAAAGUUCAGAAAUCAGUUUGGGGAAAAUCCAUCUAAUAAGCAUUAGAUAGUCACCAGGGCUAGCUGGCUGAAUUAGUCCUACUUGGGCCAGGGAGGAGGCCAGGGGAGAAUUAGCUGUGGGGUCUCAGAGCGGGUAAUCUUCAUAAAAGGGGAGGGGGAGGGAAGAGAAGGGAAAUAAAAGAUCAGGCUGAAUUCAAAUUAAAGGCCAGGCGGAAUAGCUCUGUCUUACAGGCCUGACAGAAGGAGGUUAAAUCCUGAAGGGCCCUAGUCUCAUGGGACAGAGCAUUACACCAGGUCGGAGCCAUCAAUGAAAAGGCCCUGGCCCUGGUGGAGGAUAGUCUGACUUCCUUAGGGCCCUCUAAACUAUGGUUAUUCAUGGACCUUAAGGUCCUCUGCGGGGAUACUAGGAGAGGCGGUCCCUUAAAUACGAGGGCCCUAAGCCACAAAGGGCUUUAAAGUUAUGGGGAUGUCAGCAAGAAAUUAUGCAGGGAUACGCACCAAUUGGAAGAAGAAGAAGAGUUUGGAUUUGAUAUCCCGCUUUAUCACUACCCUACGGAGUCUCAAAGUGGCUAACAAUCUCCUUUCCCUUCCUUCCCCACAACAAACACUCUGUAAGGUGAAUGAGGCUGAGAGACUUCAAAGAAGUGUGACUAGCCCAAGGUCACCCAGCAGCUGCAUGUGGAGGAGCGGGGAAGCAAACCUGGUUCACCAGAUUAUGAGUCUAUCGCUCUUAACCACUACACCACACUGAAGCAGUGUGGCUGCCCCAAAAUAUUUGCAGGCACAAAAGAUGGCCAUUUGUCAUGGAUGCUUCAGCUGAGAUUGCAAGGGUUUGGAUUAAAUGACGCUUGGGAUUUCCUUCCAGCUCUAUGAUUCUGUUCUAUUCCAGUCUAUGAAACGGUAUUUGAAACAGGAUCAUGUAUAACUGUCCCAAUGGCAUUAUGAGUACAGAUCACCAGGGAUGCACAACAGAAAGCCUGUCUAGAGGGACACUAUGUCCAGCUGCGUAGCUAGCCGCUUGGGUGCCGGGUGCUGCCCGCGUAUCCUGCAGCCAGGGACGGGGCGAGCCGCCCAUGGGGGUGGGGCAAGCUGCAUGCAGCUUCUCUGCUGCCUCCCCCUCAGCUGUAGGGUGGCCGAGCGAGAGGCGGAGGGCAGGCGCAAAUCCCACGCUGCCAUUUCAGGCAGCGCAGAACCUGCGGGCGCCCAAGCCACCACAUCACUUCCAGGAGAGAUGCGUGGCUUGGGCACGCUGCAGGCCCUGCGGUAAGUGCCAGGCCCCACGGUGUGGCACCCAGUGCCAGCCGCGUUUCGUUAUGUUUGUUGACUGAACUAAAAAGUUUCGUGAGCCCUAAAUUUUUUUAAACUCAUAUUUUUGACCUUUUGUCACCCCCCUCAGUGAAGACACCCAGAGCAACCCGCACCACCCCUUCCUCCGCCACUGACUAUGUCCACCUUUCCAGCUUAAAUCUGAGUGCUCACUGGAAGGACAGAUCCUGAAGCUGAGACUCCAAUACUUUGGCCACCUCAUGAGAAGAGAAGACUCCCUGGAAAAGACCCUGACGCUGGGAAAGAUGGAGGGCACAAGGAGAAGGGGACGACAGAGGACGAGAUGGUUAGAUAGUGUUCUUGAAGCUACCAGCAUGAGUUUGACCAAACUGCGGGAGGUAGUGGAAGACAGGAGUGCCUGGCGUACUCUGGCCCAUGGGGUCACGAAGAGUUGGACACGACUAAACAACAACAAAAACCCCGCCCAUCUGGCUGGGUCUCCCCAGCCACUCUGGG
Molecule: long non-coding RNA, 19213 nt
Filed under: Podarcis lilfordi (Lilford's wall lizard)
Lineage: Eukaryota; Metazoa; Chordata; Lepidosauria; Squamata; Lacertidae
Source: RNAcentral